Molecule: transfer RNA, 85 nt
Filed under: Sporosarcina globispora
Lineage: Bacteria; Bacillati; Bacillota; Bacilli; Caryophanales; Caryophanaceae
Also listed under: 13 other names
Description: tRNA-Tyr
Rfam family: tRNA
About the family: Transfer RNA (tRNA) molecules are approximately 80 nucleotides in length. Their secondary structure includes four short double-helical elements and three loops (D, anti-codon, and T loops). Further hydrogen bonds mediate the characteristic L-shaped molecular structure. tRNAs have two regions of fundamental functional importance: the anti-codon, which is responsible for specific mRNA codon recognition, and the 3' end, to which the tRNAs corresponding amino acid is attached (by aminoacyl-tRNA synthetases). tRNAs cope with the degeneracy of the genetic code in two manners: having more than one tRNA (with a specific anti-codon) for a particular amino acid; and 'wobble' base-pairing, i.e. permitting non-standard base-pairing at the 3rd anti-codon position.
Source: RNAcentral
GGUGGGGUAGCGAAGUGGCUAAACGCGGCGGACUGUAAAUCCGCUCCCUACGGGUUCGGCGGUUCGAAUCCGCCCCCCACCACCA